GAAUCUACCCAAUGGUGUGGAAUACCUUAUCGAAAGAUGAGCUAAUACCACAUGACCCCGCAAGGGAAAAGCGCUUAACCGCGCGCCGAUGGAUGAGCCUAUUUCCCAUCAGCUAGUUGGUAAGGUAAUGGCUUACCAAGGCUAUGACGGGUAGGGGAUUUGAGAGGAUGACCCCCCAGAAUGGGACUGAGACACGGCCCAUACACCUACGGGUGGCAGCAACCGGGAAUCGUGCGCAAUGGACGAAAGUCUGACGCCGCGACGUCGCGUGAAGGAUGAAGGCCGUUUGGUCGUAAACUUCUUUUGCCAUAAGGGUGACCUUGUGGAGAAUAAGCACCUGCUAACUCUGUGCCAGCAGCCGCGGUAAUACAGAGGGUGCAAGCGUUAUCCGGAUUUACUGGGCGUAAAGCGUUUCGUAGGCGGUUUGGUAAGUUAUAAUUCAAAGACCACGGCUUAACCGGGGGAAGGGUUGUAAUACUGCCAGACUAUUAGAGGGUUCAAGGGGCAACUGGAACUGUUGGUGUAGGAGUGAAAUCCGUUGAUAUCAACAGGAACGUCAAGGGCGUAGGCAAGUUGCUGGGGAACAUCUGACGCUGAGGAACGAAAGCUAGGGGAGCGAAAGGGAUGGGUUAAUAAAAUCUAGUUCCUCCGUUAAGUAAUUAACGGUUAAAAAAUUUGGCUAUAUGCUGGAAUAACUGAGUAUCUUAAACUAGUAUUGACUUUGGUUUUAAUUCGGAUAAUACUGAAUUAAUGCCUAGAUUAAAUACUAAUAAUGUUUUAAGUGCAGUCAAUCAGCAGGGAAGAUCUCGAAAGAGAAACCCUCAGAGACUAAAUGCCAAAUAUCCUACUAGUAAGAAUAGAAUAACUGACAUAGAAGCAACUUUAUUAGGUAUUUUAUACACUGAUGGUUGUCUAUCAAGAAAAGGUAAGAAUGCUUGGAGAUUUUAUCUAAGCAACACUUCUUAUAGAAUUAUACAAAUAUUUAAAAAUUGUAUGGUUGAUCUUUUUAAAUUAGACAUCAAAAGAAUACGAAUAUCUAAAAGACAAGUUAAUGGAAAACCUUUUUACAAAGCAAUUGUAGAUAGUGCAUUAUGUGGAGAAUUUUUAAAUUCAAAAUAUGGUACAUUUCGAACGCUCGCUUAUAAAAAUAUAGAGGGUAAAGAAAUUUAUCCUCAGACAAAGUUACCAUUUAACAAAGAAUCUGAUCACAAAAUAAUUUGCAAGUUUUUAAAAACUGCAUUUAGUUGUGAUGGGGGCAUAAAUUUAUAUGUAGCAAAAUCAAAGUUUGGAUACAAAUUUUUGAUUAGAAAUGCAUAUUUAGCUUGCAAACAUCCACAAUUACAAAAAGAUUAUCAUAAUCUACUAAAGAUUGUUGGUAUUAAAUCUAAAAUUAUAUAUAAAGAUUGGAAGAUACUUAUUCAAGGCAGAGAUGAAUUGAAUAAAUUUGAAGAAAAAGUUGGUUUUAUAAGCGAAGCUUGCAAACUUCGUUUAUAAAAGGAGUAAAAAUAACACAAAAUUCUAAAUUUUGGCAAGGUGCCGAAAAAGAAAAAGUGUUAAAUUUUGCAAUUAAUUCUUACAAUAAUCCAAGAAAGAUAAUUAAUCUUUCUAGAUUUAUUAGAGGAUAAAGAUAUAGUCCGACCUUACAAGCGAUUGUAAGACUACGUGUUGAAUCGUAGUUGCAAACUUAUGUUUGCUAAUAACAAGGUCUGUAGAGACCCCUGUAGUCCUAGCCGUAAACUUUGCCUGCUAGCGAUGGGGAGUUAAAUCUCCGUUGCGUAAGCUAACGCGUUAAGCGGGCCGCCUGGGGAGUACGAACGCAAGUUUAAAACUCAAAGGAAUUGACGGGAAGGCGCACAACCAGUGGAGCAUGUGGUUUAAUUCGAAACGAACCGAAGAACCUUACCCAGUCUUGACAUGCUAUCGUUUAUUUUUCCAGAAAUGGAGAGAAAUCCUUUAGAAAUAUUGGAUGAUAGCACAGGUGUUGCAUGGCCGUCGUCAGCUCGUGUCGUAAAAACAAGAACACUUUGCGACCCACCAAAGUAAUUUGGUGUGAAAAAUCUGACUCAUAUCGGGGGAACUAUUGAUCUUUAGGGUUAUUAAGGUAUAACCUAAAAUCAUACAAUCCCGAGGGAAGUCGAGAAUUUUACAUGCUGGAAUUUACUGCUCGUAAGAAUUUAAAGUUAAAAGUUUCCAAUCAUCAAAUGGAGAUACUUUUGGGUUGUUUAUUGGGUGAUGCUUACAUAACUAAACUUGGAAAAGUUCAGUUUGAACAAAGCAUCAAACAACUUCCAUAUUUAAUGUGGAAGUAUGAUCAAUUUAACAAUCUCGCUUACGGUGUACCGACUUUUGUUAGUAGGUACGACGUGAGAUAUGGAAAAGAAUAUAAAAGUGCCAGAUUCUGGCUCAGACAAUAUUUUAGGCCAUUAAGAGAAGAAUUUUAUCCUGAAGGAAGUAAAAUUUUUCCUAUUAAGUUUUCAAAAUACUUUACUAAAAUUGCUUUAGCAGUUUGGUAUAUGGAUGAUGGGAAUAUAUAUAAAGGUAGAAACAUUAAAAUUUCUGCCGAUAAUUUUGAUUCUAAGAGUAGGGAGAUACUUAAAAACUUACUUUUUAAAAAGUUUGGUUUGGAAAGUACGAUUCAGAAUAGUGGAAAAAUAAGGAUUUCAGGAAAGUCUGUUAAAGAUUUUCUAGAAAUUGUUAAACCACAUAUUCAUUCCAAUAUGUUAUACAAGAUUCUUUGACCCCGUAACGACUGAAGUUGAUUUUAUUAUCAACCGAGAUAUGAGAUUUAAAGCUCAUAUCACACGUCAGCUCCCUUACCAAAAUUUGGUUUAGGGAUGAAGGUAUAGUCUAAAUUAUAAUUAUUUUUCAGCCGUUAGGCUGUGUAGUUAAUAAAAUAAUUGGAGGUGUUCCCUUCAGUGGGGUAACGAGCGCAACCCCUGCCCUGAGUUAAAUAUUCUCAGGGGACUUCCCUCAUUUAUUGCGGGAGGAAGUGGGGACGACGUCAGGUCAGCAUGGCCCUUAUGACUGGGGCAACACACAUACUACAAUGGAGCCGACAAUGGGUUGCCAACGCGUAAGCGGGAGCUAAUCCCAUCAAACGGCUUCUCAGUGGGGAUUGAGGGCUGCAACUCGCCCUCAUGAACAUGGAAUUGGUAGUAAUCGCGGGUCAGCUAUACCGCGGUGAAUACGUUCUCGCCUUUUGUACACACCGCCAAGGAAGAUAUUUUUUAAGUAAAUAUCAAUGGUAAUUUCGCGCGAGGCAGUUAUAGCAAGGUUUUAUAACCUUGAUAUAUGAUUUUUCAUAAAAUCAUAUAAUUUCUACCGAGUUUAAAUCUCGGCCUCCAAUUAAAGAUUGGAGCGUAGCCAAAAAAAAUUGGCAGGUUAGGUCGAGUAAUUGACUAGCUGGAGGGCCUGAGGCAAAAAGCAGGGAUUAUUUUUAUAAGUUAUGACGACUUUUGUUGGGCGGUCAGAAGGAAGUUGUCAAAGAAAAAACUUUUAAUUCAUGCAAGGAAAAGAAUUUAUAAUGACCCUUGGAGAUCCUAGAAUGAUUAGGAGGUCAAUGCUUUCUAGGAAGUCAGCAUUUCUAUAGUAGGUUAUUGAAAAGUUCGGGUUUUAUUAUUAAACUGGAAUAUAUCAGUAAUUGAAGGGAAAUACGUAAUAUUAAGUCUGAUUUAUUAGAUUUUAGUAGUAAAACACGAUUUUUUACGAAUAAUAUUACGGCUCGCCCGAUGCGAGAAAGUCGCUCGUCGGGUGGAAACGCACUAUAACCUCUAAGUAAAGUGCAAUCCGUCAAGGCAGUAAAGUUAAAGGUACCCGAAUCUCGGUUUUGCCGGGAGAAGGUAAAUUUAGCGAUAAGGCUUAAGUCGUCCGCUUUUUAGUGGCGUGCGACCCUUAGCAGUAAUGCUAAAGAAAAAUUUGGCUAAUAUCGGUGAAACCCUAGUUGAUAUUCGGAUUAAAUUCGUUUAAUCUAAUAUUAGCGGGCAAUACCGAGGGAAGCUAUGCCAAGCAAUCAUCACACAAACAGUAAAUGGCUUAAAGAAUAUAAAAGCAAAUUGUUUCUAACAGACCUACAGAAAGAAGUUUUGAUCGGAACACUCUUAGGAGACGGAUCGAUUAAGAUAUCAGUUUCUGGAAAAGCUGCUAGAUUACAAAUUUGUCACUCCUUUGAUUAUAAAGAAUAUGUUUUUUGGAAGAAAAGUAUUUUUAAAGAAUGGGUUUUAAGUGGACCUAAAUAUUAUAAAGUGAAUAACUCAUUAAUUUUUAGAACUAUGUUCUAUAUUAAUAAAGUUAAAAUAAUUCCAAAAGAUAUUAACAAUAUAUUAAAAAGUGAUUUAAGUUUAGCUGUUUGGUUUAUGGAUGAUGGUAACGGAUAUCGUAAAAAUGAUGCAUUCAGAUUAAGUACAUAUGCAUUUAGAUAUAACGGUAAUCUUUUAUUACAAAAGUGCUUACUUAAGAAUUUUGGAAUCAAAACAAGUUUGAUUAAAGAUUCUAAAGGUUAUCAAAUUUAUAUUCCCAUAACUGGAGGUGUAUCAGAUAGGUUUAAAAAACUUAUAUAUAAAUACAUUAUUCCAAAGAUGAGAUAUAAAUUUAGAAGCAUUAGCCCCGUAGAGACUGAUUCGAAAGAAGAGAUGGUUUGAGAUAUAACCAUAAUAUGCCAACCCCUAUUGAUUUAUUUAAUAGGAUGAAGAUAUAGUCCAUACCACACGAAAGUCGUGGAAUAAAUAUGAACAAGGUAUCCCUACUGGAAGGUGGGGAUGGAUCACCUCCUU
Molecule: ribosomal RNA, 4769 nt
Filed under: Candidatus Woesebacteria bacterium GW2011_GWA1_33_30
Lineage: Bacteria; Candidatus Woeseibacteriota
Description: partial 16S ribosomal RNA
Rfam family: Bacterial small subunit ribosomal RNA (bases 1-770)
Source: RNAcentral